AGCCGCGCGGUGAGCACAAAGCGAACUAUUCUUUCGCCUUUUACUAAAGAAUACCGUGUGCGCGCCGCAGAUAGCGGCAUACGCCUAUUUUUGGAGGGUUCACUCUUAAAAUGAGUGGG
RNAcentral lists this small nuclear RNA (119 nucleotides) under Ricinus communis (castor bean). RNAcentral's name for it is "U5 spliceosomal RNA". It matches the Rfam family "U5 spliceosomal RNA". Rfam says of the family: U5 RNA is a component of both types of known spliceosome. The precise function of this molecule is unknown, though it is known that the 5' loop is required for splice site selection and p220 binding, and that both the 3' stem-loop and the Sm site are important for Sm protein binding and cap methylation. The record is from Rfam by way of RNAcentral. Lineage: Eukaryota; Viridiplantae; Streptophyta; Magnoliopsida; Malpighiales; Euphorbiaceae.